This 250-nucleotide ribosomal RNA is filed under the name uncultured bacterium. RNAcentral describes it as "partial 16S ribosomal RNA". It matches the Rfam family "Bacterial small subunit ribosomal RNA", at positions 524 to 776 of the family's 1533-position model. The record is from RNAcentral.
GACAGAGGAUGCAAGCGUUAUCCGGAAUGAUUGGGCGUAAAGCGUCUGUAGGUGGCUUUUAAGUCUGCCGUCAAAUCCCAGGGCUUAACCCUGGACAGGCGGUGGAAACUACCAAGCUGGAGUACGGUAGGGCAGAGGGAAUUUCCGGUGGAGCGGUGAAAUGCGUAGAGAUCGGAAAGAACACCAACGGCGAAAGCACUCUGCUGGGCCGACACUGACACUGAGAGACGAAAGCUAGGGAGCGAAUGGG